CUCCUGUGAUGAACUCUUGAGACAUUGUGUCUGGGCCACUGAUGCUUCAUGAUGGUAAUGAGGAUCUGAGGGG
Calypte anna (Anna's hummingbird) is the source of this 73-nucleotide non-coding RNA. Lineage: Eukaryota; Metazoa; Chordata; Aves; Apodiformes; Trochilidae. The record is from Rfam.